CCACGCUAUUGAAAACAACAACAUAUGUGAACAGAAUUUGAUCGCAAAUUCGCGAAAGUAUACAGCGAAAAUACAGGGACUUUUUCGAUAAAAUAUACGAAAUUUGAAAUGGAAAACCCGCUAAACAGACAGUCAAAGUAGUAGUGACGAUUCUCUAGCUGAAUAUGUGAAGAUUGCGAAGUGUUUGAUCAACUUUGAAGCGAGAGAUGUUGUACUUGCAUGCCAUGGUCUGAUGAAUUUCAACGCUUACGCGUUGCUACUUGCUGAAUAGCAAUGUAUCGAUCAGAAAUUUAUUCAUACAACUAAACCAACGUCUCAAUAAUUGGAAACUUACUUCAAAGUCGAAAGGUAUCGUACAAUGAAACUUUACAAUGCGAGUAUAUUUGUAAAAUUCUA
Paramuricea clavata is the source of this 396-nucleotide non-coding RNA. Lineage: Eukaryota; Metazoa; Cnidaria; Anthozoa; Malacalcyonacea; Plexauridae. The record is from the annotation of a GenBank genome assembly.